Molecule: non-coding RNA, 268 nt
Organism: Heterocephalus glaber (naked mole-rat)
Lineage: Eukaryota; Metazoa; Chordata; Mammalia; Rodentia; Bathyergidae
Source: Rfam
AUAUUUCAGGCUGUGAUGUCUGUCACCCCACUGAUCACCAGGAUAGAUUGGGCUGAUCUAGCUGACCAAGCAGGUAACCCCUUCCUUCCUCUCUGCUCCACAUGCCUCCCUCCAAGGUGCAUGAGGACCAUUCCCACGGAAGAGGACCAUUUCCUCCUUCAUGGUAGAACCUCCAAACAAUGUUUUCUUCAUGACAAAAAAAACACUUCUAUGUGUAUAACUUUUUAUGUAAAUAUUAUUUAAAUUACAUUGUGAAAUUUAAUUUAAU